GUGCUCGCUUCGGCAGCACAUAUACUAAAAUUGGAAUGAUACAGAGGUCAGCAUGGCCCCUGAGCAAGGAUGACACGCAAAUCCUAGACACCUUCCCACCAUCC
This 104-nucleotide small nuclear RNA is filed under the name Vulpes vulpes (red fox). Lineage: Eukaryota; Metazoa; Chordata; Mammalia; Carnivora; Canidae. The record is from RNAcentral.